GGGGGAACAUAAAUCCUUUCUUUUAUAGGGGCGAUUUGAUCAUCAUUAGUGGUUAUUUCGGAAUCACCUAGUUUGCCUUGGGUAGGUGCUGGAAGUAGUCUCUUAGUUUCUUCUGUACCUUCCUCUUCUUUUCCAGCACUUGUCGUGGCUUCUUCUCGUCUAUCAUAUGAUUUGCCACUUCUCAGAGUUCUAAUGGACUUGACAUGCUCAACAUUUCGAGGAUUAAUUUCGGGUUGGCUUAGGAAUGUGUCUUGCGCCCUCUCAUGCACAAUAGUUGCGAGCUGG
RNAcentral lists this long non-coding RNA (285 nucleotides) under Prunus persica (peach). Its description in RNAcentral is "long non-coding RNA (PPER_LNC000268)". The record is from RNAcentral. Lineage: Eukaryota; Viridiplantae; Streptophyta; Magnoliopsida; Rosales; Rosaceae.